Scophthalmus maximus (turbot) is the source of this 663-nucleotide long non-coding RNA. RefSeq lists it as uncharacterized. The transcript has 5 exons. Lineage: Eukaryota; Metazoa; Chordata; Actinopteri; Pleuronectiformes; Scophthalmidae. The record is from RefSeq and is a predicted model, not a curated record.
UCCCGGCUCUCUGCUCCAGACCAGAUUCAUAAGAGCCACAGAACCUCGGCACUGGUUUGGCACGAGACUUCCCGAGCAGGACAUGUUACCCACAAAAUUUAGCCAGUAUCCAGGCUUUGCUUCUUGUGAGAUUUAACGAAGAUGAUGGUCUUAAAAUGGUUUUACCACAAGAAAGCUCCCCCCUACAAGGAAUAUACCUGUUGUCUCCCCCCCCCCACCCCCACCCCCACCCCGAGGCCUCACACUGCCUGUCUGAGGAGUAAAAUGAUAGAUCCAGCAGCUUGACCACAGAUCAUGGCGAGACAAUCCAGACUCGUCAAGAGAAGCAUGGAUCCUAAACAUGUCCUCACCUGAUGAAAGGUCUUGAGAUGGCCAGGACGGUCCGGAUGAACCACGUCGGGUGAGCGAUGAUGAGACACUUGAGAUUCUUCCUCAGUCUGCAGGAGGCAUUUAAAUCAGCUUGUGAUUGGACGGCCAAGGGGUGAUAUCAAAUGACAUUUGAGGCACUAUGAGGUCAUUGCAGCUCGUUGCCGUUGUUGAUGAACUCCAGCGAGUCCGUCUCGUCGGGGGUCUCGAUGUCGUCCACGUUGAUGUCCAGGUCAUCGGGCGUUUCCAUGAAGUCGUCAGAGAGCACCGACCCCUCGCUCUGAUCCAGGGACAGGC